This 417-nucleotide long non-coding RNA is filed under the name Volvox carteri. RNAcentral describes it as "long non-coding RNA (VCAR_LNC000565)". The record is from RNAcentral. Lineage: Eukaryota; Viridiplantae; Chlorophyta; Chlorophyceae; Chlamydomonadales; Volvocaceae.
ACCUCACCUCACCUCACCCCACCUCACCUCACCUCACCUCACCUCACCUCACCUCACCCCACCUCACCUCACCUCACCUCACCUCACCUCACCCCACCUCAACUCAACUCAACUCAACUCAACUCAACUCAACUCAUCUCACCUCAACUCACCCCACCUCACCCCACCUCACCUCACCUCACCUCACCUCACCCCACCUCACCUCACCUCACCUCACCUCACCUCACCUCACCUCACCUCACCUCACCUCAACUCACCUCACCUCACCUCACCUCACCUCACCUCACCUCACCUCACCCCACCUCACCCCACCUCACCCCACCUCACCUCACCUCACCUCACCUCACCUCACCUCACCUCACCUCACCUCACCUCACCUCACCUCACCUCACCUCACCUCACCUCACCUCACCUCAC